RNAcentral lists this ribosomal RNA (497 nucleotides) under uncultured bacterium. Its description in RNAcentral is "partial 16S ribosomal RNA". It matches the Rfam family "Bacterial small subunit ribosomal RNA", at positions 28 to 507 of the family's 1533-position model. The record is from RNAcentral.
GAUGAACGCUGGCGGCGUGCCUAAUACAUGCAAGUCGAGCGAACCUACCAGGAGUUUUCUCCUCUGACGUUAGCGGCGGACGGGUGAGUACCAUGUGGAUAACCUACCUCUAAGACUGUGAUAACUUUGCGAAAUCGGCGCUAAUACCGGAUAAUAUAUUGAACCUCAUGCUUCCCUCGUGAAAUUCGGUUUUUCUGUCACUUAUUGAUGGACCCGCGCCGCAUUAGCUAGCUGGUAAGGUAACGGCUUACCAAGGCUACGAUGCGUAGCCGACCUGAGAGGGAGGUCGACCAGACGGGAAGUGAGACAGAGUAGAGACACCUACAGGGGGACGCAGUAGAGAAUCUUACGCAAUGGGCGAGAGCGGGACGGAGCAAAGCCGCGGAAGGGAUGAAGGUCUUAGGAUCGUAAAACUCUGAUAGUAGGAAAGAAGAAAUGUGUAAGUAACGAUGCACGUAAUGACGGUACCUGAUCAGAAAGCCACGGCUAACUACGUG